GCCCCCAUAGCUCAGCGGAUAGAGCGUUGCCCUCCGGAGGCAAAGGCACAGGUUCGAUUCCUGUUGGGGGUA
RNAcentral lists this transfer RNA (72 nucleotides) under Pseudomonadota bacterium. RNAcentral describes it as "tRNA-Arg". It matches the Rfam family "tRNA". Rfam says of the family: Transfer RNA (tRNA) molecules are approximately 80 nucleotides in length. Their secondary structure includes four short double-helical elements and three loops (D, anti-codon, and T loops). Further hydrogen bonds mediate the characteristic L-shaped molecular structure. tRNAs have two regions of fundamental functional importance: the anti-codon, which is responsible for specific mRNA codon recognition, and the 3' end, to which the tRNAs corresponding amino acid is attached (by aminoacyl-tRNA synthetases). tRNAs cope with the degeneracy of the genetic code in two manners: having more than one tRNA (with a specific anti-codon) for a particular amino acid; and 'wobble' base-pairing, i.e. permitting non-standard base-pairing at the 3rd anti-codon position. The record is from RNAcentral. RNAcentral also lists the same sequence under 1 other name. Lineage: Bacteria; Pseudomonadati; Pseudomonadota.